Non-coding RNA from Prunus avium (sweet cherry), 442 nucleotides. Lineage: Eukaryota; Viridiplantae; Streptophyta; Magnoliopsida; Rosales; Rosaceae. The record is from RefSeq and is a predicted model, not a curated record.
GUGUUUGAUAAAGGAGGUGAUCUGAUCAAAGCUUAAAACAGAGAAGGAUCAGAGAUGGGUUGGCUUUUAACUGCUAUCCUAAGCAGCUUGGUGGGGAUGUGUGUUUCUUUCUGCUGUGGCCUCUGCGGCCUCUGCUGUGGCCUCUGCAACCCCGGUCGAUAAAUGAUUUAUCAAUAUGCAAGAAAUAAUAGCUUGGAUGCGUGAGAUUGAUGUUUUCAUGUUGCUUUGGUUUAGCAACUUACGUAUGGUGCUUCCAUGCGUUCUGUUUGCCAAAUGCAAUACUGAUAUUCUAUCUUAACUUCCCAUUCCUUAGCUAGUUUGGUUUUCUUUUAGGUUUGAAUAUGGCAUGUAAUGAUGACAAAGCAUCUUAUGAUGAUUUCUCAAUAAUGUGUGCUUGUAAUUUGAUGUAUUGGUAUUAAUCUUUGGUAGUUAAGUUGAAAUU